Molecule: non-coding RNA, 492 nt
Organism: Monodelphis domestica (gray short-tailed opossum)
Lineage: Eukaryota; Metazoa; Chordata; Mammalia; Didelphimorphia; Didelphidae
Source: RefSeq, a predicted model, not a curated record
AUGAGGCAUUUCACUGAGGCCAGCCCAGCUGACUCCUUCAAGAGUAACCAUCCAAGUCCUCUGCCUCUCUUCCAUGCCUCUGACAAAAGAUAAUGAACCAAGGGAAAAGGAAGCAAAGCAUUUCCAAGAAGAAAGGGUGACAGAGUUCUUGAACAAAUUCUUCCUUCAACAAUGAAGCAAAUAUUUACAAGAAUCAAAGAAAAACAGUCUAGUGUGGUGACUAGAAUGCCAGACUUAAAGUCAGAUGGAGAGUCUUCUGUUCCCUUGCUUUACUGACAUAAUGAGAAUACUCUUAUUAUAAUGAAGAAAAACAAAAGAGAUGGAUGGUACAGAGGGAUUCUGAGAAAAACCUCAGAGAAUUAUACAAGGGAUCCAGAAGCAUUUAUCAAUUACACUUGCUAUGUACUAGACGUUGUCUGUCCUUCAUUUUUGAAGAGGACCAAUGACACUAUGAGGUAUUAUCUUGAUGUGUGUGUGUGAAAUGGAUUUAAA